This 1600-nucleotide ribosomal RNA is filed under the name Plasmodium cf. inui. Its description in RNAcentral is "SSU rRNA". It matches the Rfam family "Eukaryotic small subunit ribosomal RNA", at positions 61 to 1439 of the family's 1831-position model. Lineage: Eukaryota; Apicomplexa; Aconoidasida; Haemosporida; Plasmodiidae. The record is from RNAcentral.
AAGUAUAUGCAUAUUUUAUAUGUAGAAACUGCGAACGGCUCAUUAAAACAGUUAUAAUCUACUUGACAUUUUUUCUAUAAGGAUAACUACGGAAAAGCUGUAGCUAAUACUUGCUUUAGCACUCUUGAUUAAGUUCUUGAGUGUGUACUUGUUAAGCCUUUUAAGAAAAAAGUUAUUAACUUAAGGAAUUAUAACAAAGAAGCAACACGUAAAUGGAUUUUCCAUUUUUUAGUGUGUAUCAAUCGAGUUUCUGACCUAUCAGCUUUUGAUGUUAGGGUAUUGGCCUAACAUGGCUAUGACGGGUAACGGGGAAUUAGAGUUCGAUUCCGGAGAGGGAGCCUGAGAAAUAGCUACCACAUCUAAGGAAGGCAGCAGGCGCGUAAAUUACCCAAUUCUAAAGAAGAGAGGUAGUGACAAGAAAUAACAAUACAAGGCCAAUCUGGCUUUGUAAUUGGAAUGAUGGGAAUUUAAAACCUUCCCAAAACUCAAUUGGAGGGCAAGUCUGGUGCCAGCAGCCGCGGUAAUUCCAGCUCCAAUAGCGUAUAUUAAAAUUGUUGCAGUUAAAACGCUCGUAGUUGAAUUUCAAAGAAUCGAUAUUUUAAGUAGCACUUUGUAGAUUAAUCCACAUAACUGAUACUACGUAUCGACUUUGUGCGCAUUUUUCUACUUAUGUGUUCUUUUAAUUAAAAUGAUUCUUUUUAAGAUCUUUCUUUUUUGCUUCGGCAUUUUAGGAGAUCUUGUUACUUUGAGUAAAUUAGAGUGUUCAAAGCAAACAGAUUAUAGCAUCUUUAUGCGUUUGAAUACUACAGCAUGGAAUAACAAAAUUGAACAAGUCAGAAUUUUGUUCUUUUUUCUUAUUUUGGCUUAGUUACGAUUAAUAGGAGUAGCUUGGGGGCAUUUGUAUUCAGAUGUCAGAGGUGAAAUUCUUAGAUUUUCUGGAGACAAACAACUGCGAAAGCAUUUGCCUAAAAUACUUCCAUUAAUCAAGAACGAAAGUUAAGGGAGUGAAGACGAUCAGAUACCGUCGUAAUCUUAACCAUAAACUAUGCCGACUAGGCUUUGGAUGAAAGAUUUUAAAAUAAGAGUUUUUUCUCUGAGGAGUUAAAACUCUUAGAUUGCUUCCUUCAGUGCCUUAUGAGAAAUCAAAGUCUUUGGGUUCUGGGGCGAGUAUUCGCGCAAGCGAGAAAGUUAAAAGAAUUGACGGAAGGGCACCACCAGGCGUGGAGCUUGCGGCUUAAUUUGACUCAACACGGGAAAACUCACUAGUUUAAGACAAGAGUAGGAUUGACAGAUUAAUAGCUCUUUCUUGAUUUCUUGGAUGGUGAUGCAUGGCCGUUUUUAGUUCGUGAAUAUGAUUUGUCUGGUUAAUUCCGAUAACGAACGAGAUCUUAACCUGCUAAUUAGCGGCAAAUACGAUAUAUUCUUAUGUGGAAUUGAAUAUAGUUGAUUUGUUAGAUUUUGAAGAAAAUAUUGGAAUUACUAAUCGUUUUUCCUUUCCCUUUUCUACUUAAUUUACUUAUCCUACUAUUUCUUUUUUGCAUUUGAAUGUAUUUGCUUGAUUGUAAAGCUUCUUAGAGGAACGAUGUGUGUCUAACACAAG